GCGGGCGUGGUGAAAUUGGUAGACACGUCAGACUUAGGAUCUGAUGGCGCAAGUCAUGGGGGUUCAAGUCCCUUCGCCCGCACCA
Molecule: transfer RNA, 85 nt
Filed under: Azospirillum sp.
Lineage: Bacteria; Pseudomonadati; Pseudomonadota; Alphaproteobacteria; Rhodospirillales; Azospirillaceae
Also listed under: 1 other name
Description: tRNA-Leu
Rfam family: tRNA
About the family: Transfer RNA (tRNA) molecules are approximately 80 nucleotides in length. Their secondary structure includes four short double-helical elements and three loops (D, anti-codon, and T loops). Further hydrogen bonds mediate the characteristic L-shaped molecular structure. tRNAs have two regions of fundamental functional importance: the anti-codon, which is responsible for specific mRNA codon recognition, and the 3' end, to which the tRNAs corresponding amino acid is attached (by aminoacyl-tRNA synthetases). tRNAs cope with the degeneracy of the genetic code in two manners: having more than one tRNA (with a specific anti-codon) for a particular amino acid; and 'wobble' base-pairing, i.e. permitting non-standard base-pairing at the 3rd anti-codon position.
Source: RNAcentral